UAGAGUUUGAUCCUGGCUCAGGAUGAACGUUAGCUACAGGCUUAACACAUGCAAGUCGAGGGGCAUCGCGGUGCGGCAACGCACCGGCGGCGACCGGCGCACGGGUGAGUAACGCGUAUCCGACCUGGCCUUCACUUCGGGAUAGCCCCUCGAAAGAGGGAUUAAUACCGGAUAUGUGGGAGCGUUACAUGGCACUCCCACAAAAGAUUUAUCGGUGAAGGAUGGGGAUGCCUCCCAUUAGCUUGUUGGCGGGGUAACGGCCCACCAAGGCGACGAUGGGUAGGGGUACUGAGAGGUAGGUCCCCCACAUUGGAACUGAGACACGGUCCAAACUCCUACGGGAGGCAGCAGUGAGGAAUAUUGGUCAAUGGGCGAGAGCCUGAACCAGCCAAGUAGCGUGAAGGAAGACUGUCCUAUGGAUUGUAAACUUCUUUUCCGGGAGGGUAAAGUGGGGGACGUGUCCCCUAUUGCAAGUAUCCCGGGAAUAAGCAUCGGCUAACUCCGUGCCAGCAGCCGCGGUAAUACGGAGGAUGCGAGCGUUAUCCGGAUUUAUUGGGUUUAAAGGGAGCGUAGGCGGACGAAUUAGUUCGGGGGUAAAUUUGUUGGGUCCAACCAUACCGUGCCAUUGGUACGGGUUGUCUGGAGUGUACAAGAGGGGGAUGGAAUUUCAAGGUGUAGCGGUGAAAAGCUUAGAUAUCUUGAAGAACUCCGAUUGCGAAGGCAGUUCACUGGGGUACAACUGACGCUGAUGCUCGAAAGUGCGGGGAUCAAACAGGAUUAGAUACCCUGGUAGUCCGCACAGUAAACGAUGAAUACUCGCUGUCGGCGAUAGACAGUCGGCGGCCAAGCGAAAGCAAUAAGUAUUCCACCUGGGGAGUACGCCGGCAACGGUGAAACUCAAAGGAAUUGACGGGGGCCCGCACAAGCGGAGGAACAUGUGGUUUAAUUCGAUGAUACGCGAGGAACCUUACCCGGGCUUGAACUGGAGUGGAAGAUUGGCAGAGACGCCUUUCGUCUUCGGACCGCUUCAGAGGUGCUGCAUGGUUGUCGUCAGCUCGUGCCGUGAGGUGUCGGCUUAAGUGCCAUAACGAGCGCAACCCUUUUCCCUGUUUGCCAUCAGGUCAUGCUGGGCACUCCAGGGACACUGCCAUCGCAAGAUGUGAGGAAGGUGGGGAUGACGUCAAAUCAGCACGGCCCUUACGUCCGGGGCUACACACGUGUUACAAUGGGCGGUACAGAGGGCAGCCACCUGGCGACAGGGCGCUAAUCCUUAAAACCGUUCUCAGUUCGGAUCGGAGUCAGCAACCCGACUCCGUGAAGCUGGAUUCGCUAGUAAUCGCGCAUCAGCCAUGGCGCGGUGAAUACGUUCCCGGGCCUUGUACACACCGCCCGUCA
RNAcentral lists this ribosomal RNA (1395 nucleotides) under uncultured bacterium. RNAcentral's name for it is "16S ribosomal RNA". It matches the Rfam family "Bacterial small subunit ribosomal RNA". The record is from RNAcentral.